This 554-nucleotide ribosomal RNA is filed under the name Junonia atlites. Its description in RNAcentral is "partial 16S ribosomal RNA". It matches the Rfam family "Bacterial large subunit ribosomal RNA", at positions 1796 to 2618 of the family's 2925-position model. The record is from RNAcentral. Lineage: Eukaryota; Metazoa; Arthropoda; Insecta; Lepidoptera; Nymphalidae.
UCGCCUGUUUAUCAAAAACAUGUCUUUUUGAUAAUAAUUUAAAGUCUAAUCUGCCCACUGAUAAAAUAUUAAAGGGCUGCAGUAUAUUGACUGUACAAAGGUAGCAUAAUCAUUAGUCUUUUAAUUGAAGACUUGUAUGAAAGAUUUGAUGAAAUAUAAACUGUCUCUAAUUUAUAAUUAGAAAUUAAUUUUUUAGUUAAAAAGCUAAAAUAAAAUUAAAAGACGAGAAGACCCUAUAGAGUUUUAUAUUUUAUUUUUUUAAUAUUAAAAAUAUAAUUAAAUUAUAUUAAGUAAAUGAAAUAUUAUGUUGGGGUGAUAAAAAAAUUUAAUAAACUUUUUUUAAAAAAUUAACAUAGAUAAGUGAUUAAUUGAUCCAUUAAUAAUGAUUAAAAGAAAAAAUUACCUUAGGGAUAACAGCGUAAUAUUUUUUUUUAGUACAAAUAAAAAAGAAAGUUUGCGACCUCGAUGUUGGAUUAAGAUAAAAUUUAAAUGCAAAAGUUUAAAAUUUUGAUCUGUUCGAUCAUUAAAAUCUUACAUGAUCUGAGCUCAAACCG